UGUUCGAGAUAUAGUUGCAAG
RNAcentral lists this small nuclear RNA (21 nucleotides) under Arabidopsis thaliana (thale cress). Its description in RNAcentral is "snRNA_07243". Lineage: Eukaryota; Viridiplantae; Streptophyta; Magnoliopsida; Brassicales; Brassicaceae. The record is from RNAcentral.